UACCUUGGAUAGCUCUUCUUCCAGGUGCCUUAAAGAAAGGAGGCCAAGUGACUUUGGAGACCAAAAAUCCAAUGCAAACAUAUAUACAUACAAACACAGAAGCAAAGGUUGGCAUACAUGUCAAGAGAACAUUCUCCAGCUGGGGCCUGCAGUAUAGAGAAUUGUAUACUCCAGAGGGCUCAUGGGACCUUGGGCAGAUUAUUAUGGUAAUAUUGGAGACUGCUGUCCUUUCCCUCCCACAGCUGGGCCGCCUCUCUCAUUAA
RNAcentral lists this long non-coding RNA (263 nucleotides) under Coturnix japonica (Japanese quail). RNAcentral's name for it is "lncRNA (ENSCJPG00005019461.1)". The record is from RNAcentral. Lineage: Eukaryota; Metazoa; Chordata; Aves; Galliformes; Phasianidae.